RNAcentral lists this unclassified non-coding RNA (253 nucleotides) under soil metagenome. RNAcentral's name for it is "partial contains small subunit ribosomal RNA, internal transcribed spacer 1, and 5.8S ribosomal RNA". The record is from RNAcentral.
UUUCCGUAGGUGAACCUGCGGAAGGAUCAUUGCCACACACGAUCCAAGAUCGACACUUUUUGUGAACUGUUAACCGUGAUUUUAUGUUGAGAAGCUAUUGAACUCGUUCUUUAGUGACUUAGCAUAAAUUUUUAUACACCUUUACAACGAUUUAUACAAUGGAACUUAUAACAUCAUACAAACUUUUUGUCUGUAUUGAUGCUAGAUAUAUUAAUUGUAAAAACAACUUUUAACAAUGGAUAUCUAGGUUCUU